This 77-nucleotide transfer RNA is filed under the name Rhodospirillales bacterium. RNAcentral's name for it is "tRNA-Arg". It matches the Rfam family "tRNA". Rfam says of the family: Transfer RNA (tRNA) molecules are approximately 80 nucleotides in length. Their secondary structure includes four short double-helical elements and three loops (D, anti-codon, and T loops). The record is from RNAcentral. Lineage: Bacteria; Pseudomonadati; Pseudomonadota; Alphaproteobacteria; Rhodospirillales.
GCACCCGUAGCUCAAUUGGAUAGAGCACCAGACUACGGAUCUGGGGGUUAGGAGUUCGAAUCUCUUCGGGUGCGCCA